GAAGAAAACAUAUCAACUCACUUUGAUUUCUUUAGGGGCUCAGCUAAAUCUAGUUUUAAUGGUUGCAGAACAAAAUGAAAAUAAAAAUUUUAGUAUCUCAAAAUCUAGUUUCUAUUUUUUUUUUGUGACAGUAAUCAAUGAUUUCAAAAUAACCAAAAACCUCGUAAUAAGAUUCAAUUGAAUCUUAAAACUACACAACUUUCAGAACUAAAGAAUGACGAAAAACGAAAUAAUAGAGGAGAAGUGGAGGAGCUACUACACAACUAUUUUCAUUUUUCUAACCAAUCAGAGCGCACCGGACUACGCCCACUCGCACCAACUUCGCGUCACGCGCUCCGGACCACGCCCACUCGCAUCAACCUCGCGUUGAGCGCGUGUCGUCGAUUUCUGUAGGGGUAAACCCACAAAAUCAUGCCUAUUUUACAUCUACUCGCUUUGUUUCCAAAACAGCCUCGAGUGACUUUUUCUUUUGUUUUUUUUUUCUCAAAACCGUACUAUUCUAAUACAAACCGAACCAAAAUUAAUUUUCAUUUCACAACCAUCUAAACCAAACAGAAAUCACUUGUAAUUUCAAAACCUAUGUACGCCGAACCGAAAUCUAUUGUCAUU
RNAcentral lists this small RNA (609 nucleotides) under Arabidopsis thaliana (thale cress). Its description in RNAcentral is "ATSL130360". The record is from RNAcentral. Lineage: Eukaryota; Viridiplantae; Streptophyta; Magnoliopsida; Brassicales; Brassicaceae.